ACAUAUUCAUCAAAAAAAUCAUAAUUUAACUGUGAUAAAAAAUGUUUAACAGUAUAAAUUCAUUUGUUACAUUUGGAAUAAUAAUAUUUAUAAUUAAUUAUGCAAAAUCACACUGUGUUGAACAGUCAGCAUGUACUUGUUUGCGUGAUGACAAAAGAGGUUAUGAUUUGAGACCAUUGGCAGAUCAAGGUCCAUUUCAUAAUAAAAAAAAUAAUUUCACCUUUCAACCAUGCAGGAAUGUAGAUUUGACAUUCAAAAACUCGAAUGACAGCGACUGUCAAGAAUCAUCAAUUUGUUUGCUGAGUCGAUCAAAUCGGUCAAUAAGCUUGGGUAAAGCUGAAGAUUCAAUAUGGUCAUCUCCAUUGAACAAUAAAAAUGGUAUGCACUUGGUAUUUCACCACGAAAAUUACAUGACUAAAAUUAAAUUAGAAUGUUGCCAUGGUUGUGUGACGACGUUGGUAGAUCAAAAUUCUACUGAUACAGAAUAUAACUUGACGUUGACAUCAGAGAGUAACUGUCUAAUAACUAUGAGAAGAGGACUUUCAACAGGAUCUAUAUUAGUUAUUCUCUUGCUUGUUUUCACCGGAAUUUACUUUGCUAGCGGUGCUCUAGCAUUAAGGUUUUUACGAGGCGCUGUUGGAUUGGAAUUAAUUCCUAAUUAUGAAUUUUGGUCUGAUCUUCCUGGACUUGUUAGGGACGGAGUGACAUUUACACUUAGCGGUUGUUCGCCGGUAAGUUACGAAAGAAUAUAAAUUCUAUGAUAAAUAUCAUUUUCCUGUGCAGUGUAACUUGAGAGAAAUUGAAUCAUAAGUUGAAAAUUGAGAGCAGCCAUUCAAAAACUUCAAAUUUCUUUAAUAAAACUCUUUGCUGCUCGUGGUUUUAUUUAAAAUUAAGAGGAUGGUGUUGCCAGCUGCUGGGAACUGCAUUACACAAGGCAUUACCGUCCGCAAUCUUGUAAAAUUCAAAAGAACUAGUUUGAACAGCUCAGUACUUAAAGUCUUCUUGAAUACAAUAGAAGCAAGCAGUAAACCUUGGAUUGGUCGAACGCUUCCUAAGAAUUUUCUAUGUUAGUAACUUAAUACUUGAUAUAGAAGAAUAUAGAAGUUACUCACACGUCAUUGUACCACAUGAUAUUGAUUAACACAUUUUUACUUAAACGAAAAAAAAUUUUUUUCAUGUACUAGUGAAUGAUAUUUUUUUUCUUUUUUGAAAUAACCUUGUGAUUAAAUUGUCUUUACCAAGUUAAAA
Molecule: RNA transcript, 1248 nt
Organism: Cotesia glomerata
Lineage: Eukaryota; Metazoa; Arthropoda; Insecta; Hymenoptera; Braconidae
Exons: 6
Source: RefSeq, a predicted model, not a curated record